AUGCCUACGAAUCAGAGGGGAGGUGAAGAUGCAGCUCUAGUAUUUCUAGCGACCAGAAGGAAAGCCACAACCCCCCGCCAACAGCCCAAAAAUUCGAGCUGCCGCCCCACCUCUGACCCGGCCCGCCAAGCCACAGGUCCAAGCCUCCCGCCACGUCAGCGAUCCGCGGCAUCUCUCUCGCGGAUCCCCAUCUCGACCGUCCACCGCAUCCGCAUCGAACGGCAGGCACACGCCUCCUCCAACCUCUCUCCCCUUUAAAACGCCCCUCGCCCCUCCCCGCAAAUCACAACACAAACCACCAACCACCACCGCUACUCCAACCCCACAUUCGCUUGCCAGCAGCUCGAAGAGGAUCGUCGGCGACCAUGUCCGGGCGCGGCAAGGGAGGCAAGGGGCUCGGCAAGGGCGGCGCCAAGCGCCACCGGAAGGUGCUGCGCGACAACAUCCAGGGCAUCACCAAGCCGGCGAUCCGGAGGCUCGCUCGGAGGGGUGGCGUGAAGCGCAUCUCGGGGCUCAUCUACGAGGAAACCCGCGGCGUGCUGAAGAUCUUCCUCGAGAACGUCAUCCGCGACGCCGUCACCUACACCGAGCACGCCCGCCGCAAGACCGUCACCGCCAUGGACGUCGUCUACGCGCUCAAGCGCCAGGGCCGCACCCUCUACGGCUUCGGCGGCUAGGCGCUUCCUCGCCCCUCCCCUGCAGAUCCCAAAAGCUUGAUGAUACCGCGACUUGUGUGGUUUGCUACUUCCUCUGUAGUUCCAAGUGAAUCGUGAAACAAAGCUACUCGCAUCUGGAGUUGGAAAUCAAUAUACACCGUGUUUCUGAA
RNA transcript from Triticum aestivum (bread wheat), 826 nucleotides. RefSeq lists it as uncharacterized. NCBI's taxonomy places the organism in Eukaryota, Viridiplantae, Streptophyta, Magnoliopsida, Poales, Poaceae. The transcript is spliced from 2 exons. The record is from RefSeq and is a predicted model, not a curated record.